This 406-nucleotide ribosomal RNA is filed under the name uncultured bacterium. RNAcentral describes it as "partial 16S ribosomal RNA". It matches the Rfam family "Bacterial small subunit ribosomal RNA", at positions 30 to 526 of the family's 1533-position model. The record is from RNAcentral.
AUUGAACGCUGGCGGCAGGCCUAACACAUGCAAGUCGAACGAGUGGCGGACGGGUGAGUAAUGUCUGGGAAACUGCCUGAUGGAGGGGGAUAACUACUGGAAACGGUAGCUAAUACCGCAUACCAUCAGAUGUGCCCAGAUGGGAUGAGAUUGUUGGUGGGGUAAUGGCUCACCUAGGCGACUAUCCCUAGCUGGUCUGAGAGGAUGACCAGCCACACUGGCACUGAGACACUGUCCAGACUCCUACGGUAGGCAGCAGUGGGGAAUAUUGCACAAUGGGCGCAAGCCUGAUGCAGCCAUGCCGCGUGUGUGAAGAAGGCCUUCGGUUUGUAAAGCACUUUCAGCGAGGAGGCGUUACCCGCAGAAGAAGCACCGGCUAACUCCGUGCCAGCAGCCGCGGUAAUUC